RNAcentral lists this ribosomal RNA (512 nucleotides) under uncultured bacterium. Its description in RNAcentral is "partial 16S ribosomal RNA". It matches the Rfam family "Bacterial small subunit ribosomal RNA", at positions 28 to 507 of the family's 1533-position model. The record is from RNAcentral.
GAUGAACGCUGGCGGCGUGCCUAAUACAUGCAAGUCGAACGAAACUUCUUUAUCACCGAGUGCUUGCGCUCACCGAUAAAGAGUUGAGUGGCGAACGGGUGAGUAACACGUGGGCAACCUGCCCAAAAGAGGGGGAUAACACUUGGAAACAGGUGCUAAUACCGCAUAACCAUAGUUACCGCAUGGUAUCUAUGUAAAAGGUGGCUAUACUACCGCUUUUGGAUGGGCCCGCGGCGCAUUAGCUAGUUGGUAGGGUAAAGGCUUACCAAGGCAAUGAUGCGUAGCCGAAUUGAGAGGUUGAUCGGCCACAUUGGGACUGAGACACGGCCCAAACUCCUACGGGAGGCAGCAGUAGGGAAUCUUCCACAAUGGGCGAAAGCCUGAUGGAGCAACGCCGCGUGGGUGAAGAAGGUCUUCGGAUCGUAAAACCCUGUUGUUAGAGAAGAAAGUGCGUGAGAGUAACUGUUCACGUUUCGACGGUAUCUAACCAGAAAGCCACGGCUAACUACGUG